CGGAGCAGAGAGGAUUGGUGUUGGAGCAGAGAACAGUUUGGAGGAGUUGGAGCAGAGAGGAUUGGUGUUGGAGCAGGAGACAACAGUUUGGAGGAGUCGGAGCAGAGAGGAUUGGUGUUGGAGCAGAGAACAGU
Molecule: non-coding RNA, 134 nt
Organism: Chelonoidis abingdonii (Abingdon island giant tortoise)
Lineage: Eukaryota; Metazoa; Chordata; Testudines; Testudinidae
Source: RefSeq, a predicted model, not a curated record